GGGAGGCAGCAGUGGGGAAUAUUGCACAAUGGGGGAAACCCUGAUGCAGCGACGCCGCGUGAGCGAAGAAGUAUUUCGGUAUGUAAAGCUCUAUCAGCAGGGAAGAAAUGACGGUACCUGACUAAGAAGCACCGGCAAAUACGUGCCAGCAGCCGCGGUAAUACGUAUGGUGCAAGCGUUAUCCGGAUUUACUGGGUGUAAAGGGAGCGCAGGCGGUACGGCAAGUCUGAUGUGAAAUCCCGGGGCUCAACCCCGGUACUGCAUUGGAAACUGUCGGACUAGAGUGUCGGAGGGGUAAGUGGAAUUCCUAGUGUAGCGGUGAAAUGCGUAGAUAUUAGGAGGAACACCAGUGGCGAAGGCG
This 361-nucleotide ribosomal RNA is filed under the name uncultured bacterium. Its description in RNAcentral is "bacterial SSU rRNA". It matches the Rfam family "Bacterial small subunit ribosomal RNA", at positions 343 to 723 of the family's 1533-position model. The record is from RNAcentral.